Long non-coding RNA from Drosophila bipectinata, 93 nucleotides. RefSeq lists it as uncharacterized. The record is from RefSeq and is a predicted model, not a curated record. Lineage: Eukaryota; Metazoa; Arthropoda; Insecta; Diptera; Drosophilidae.
AACCAACUUCUUCUUGAAGGAUAUUUUUGGUCGCAAUAAGGUAACCUAUCGAUGUGACUUUGCAGAGAAGUUGGCCACUCCAGGUGGAUAUGA